RNAcentral lists this ribosomal RNA (545 nucleotides) under fungal yeast sp. Urf811. RNAcentral describes it as "eukaryotic LSU rRNA". It matches the Rfam family "Eukaryotic large subunit ribosomal RNA", at positions 47 to 597 of the family's 3401-position model. Lineage: Eukaryota; Fungi. The record is from RNAcentral.
UAAGCGGAGGAAAAGAAACUAACAUGGAUUCCCCUCGUAGCGGCGAGCGAAGCGGGAAGAGCUCAAAUUUAUAAUCUGGCACCUUCGUUGUCCGAGUUGUAAUCUCUAGAAGUGUUUUCCGCGUUGGACCGCACACAAGUCUGUCGGAAUACAGCCGCAUAGUGGUGAAACCCCCGUCUAUGGUGCGGACGCCCAGUGCUUUGUGAUACACUUUCAAUGAGUCGAGUCGUUUGGGAAUGCAGCUCAAAUUGGGUGGUAAAUUCCAUCUAAAGCUAAAUAUUGGCGAGAGACCGAUAGCGAACAAGUACCGUGAGGGAAAGAUGAAAAGCACUUUGGAAAGAGAGUUAACAGUACGUGAAAUUGUUGGAAGGGAAACGCUCGAAGUCAGACUUGCUUGCCGGAGCUUGCUUCGGUUUGCAGGCCAGCAUCAGUUUUCCGGGGUGGAUAAUGACGGUUUGAAGGUAGCAGUCUCGGCUGUGUUAUAGCUUUCCGUUGGAUACAUCCUGGGGGACUGAGGAACGCAGCGUGCUUUUGCGAAAGACUCG